This 406-nucleotide ribosomal RNA is filed under the name Sphaerodactylus cryphius. RNAcentral describes it as "partial 16S ribosomal RNA". It matches the Rfam family "Bacterial large subunit ribosomal RNA", at positions 1990 to 2579 of the family's 2925-position model. The record is from RNAcentral. Lineage: Eukaryota; Metazoa; Chordata; Lepidosauria; Squamata; Sphaerodactylidae.
GUAUGAAUGGCUACAUGAGGACCAAACUGUCUCCUUUGACCAAUCAAUGAACCUGAUCCUCUAGUACAAAAGCUAGAAUAAACCCAUAAGACGAGAAGACCCUGUGGAGCUUAAAAUACUAACACUAACCCAAACCACACCAUCAGGCCCACAACACCAAAAUAGUGUACAUUUUCAGUUGGGGCGACUACGGAACCAAACCAAACUUCCACGACAAGACACACCCCUCUACCCAAGGUCAACAAACCAAGAUACUACUUGACCCAGUAAUACUGACCAACGAACCAAGUUACCCCAGGGAUAACAGCGCUAUCCUCUUCAAGAGCCCAUAUCGCCAAGAGGGUUUACGACCUCGAUGUUGGAUCAGGACCCCCCGGUGGUGCACCCGCUACCAAAGGUUCGUUUG